GCCGGGCGCGGUGGCUCACGCCUGUAAUCCCAGCACUUUGGGAGGCUAAUGUGGGAGGAUUGCUUGAACCCGGGAGUUCGAGGCUGCAGUGAGCUAUGAUCCUGCCACUGCACUCUAGCCUGGGUGACAGAGUGAGAUCCUGUCUCUA
RNAcentral lists this signal recognition particle RNA (148 nucleotides) under Gorilla gorilla gorilla (western lowland gorilla). Its description in RNAcentral is "Metazoan signal recognition particle RNA". It matches the Rfam family "Metazoan signal recognition particle RNA". From Rfam's summary of the family: The signal recognition particle (SRP) is a universally conserved ribonucleoprotein. The record is from Rfam by way of RNAcentral. Lineage: Eukaryota; Metazoa; Chordata; Mammalia; Primates; Hominidae.